Molecule: ribosomal RNA, 254 nt
Filed under: uncultured bacterium
Lineage: Bacteria
Description: partial 16S ribosomal RNA
Rfam family: Bacterial small subunit ribosomal RNA
Source: RNAcentral
CACGUAGGGUGCGAGCGUUGUCCGGAAUUAUUGGGCGUAAAGAGCUCGUAGGCGGUGUGUCGCGUCGGCCGUGAAAACUUGCAGCUUAACUGUGGGCGUGCGGUCGAUACGGGCAUCACUGGAGUUCGGCAGGGGAGACUGGAAUUCCUGGUGUAGCGGUGAAAUGCGCAGAUAUCAGGAGGAACACCGGUGGCGAAGGCAGGUCUCUGGGCACUUACUGACGCUGAGGAGCGAAAGCGUGGGGAGCGAACAGG